AGAGUUUGAUCAUGGCUCAGGAUUAACGCUGGCGGUAUGCCUAACACAUGCAAGUCGAACGGAAUACUAAUUAAGAGAAUCUCACACUAGUGAGAGGUUCUCACGAGUAGUAUUUAGUGGCGGACGGGUGAGUAACACGUUGGAACCUGCCCCGAAGUGGGGAAUAACUGCUCGAAAGAGUAGCUAAUACCCCAUAGUAUCCGGUUUAUCCGGAUUAAAGAUUUAUCGCUUCGGGAGGGGCCUGCGUCUGAUUAGCUAGUUGGUGAGGUAAAAGCUCACCAAGGCGACGAUCAGUAGCUGGUUCGAGAGGAUGACCAGCCACACUGGGACUGAGAUGCGGCCCAGACUCCUACGGGAGGCAGCAGUGAGGAAUCUUCCACAAUGGGCGCAAGCCUGAUGGAGCAAUACCGCGUGCAGGAAGACGCUUUUCGGAGUGUAAACUGCUUUUGUCGUCGAAGAUUAUGACUGUAGACGAAGAAUAAGGACCGGCUAACUACGUG
This 500-nucleotide ribosomal RNA is filed under the name uncultured bacterium. RNAcentral's name for it is "bacterial SSU rRNA". It matches the Rfam family "Bacterial small subunit ribosomal RNA", at positions 8 to 507 of the family's 1533-position model. The record is from RNAcentral.